Long non-coding RNA from Oncorhynchus tshawytscha (Chinook salmon), 2045 nucleotides. NCBI's taxonomy places the organism in Eukaryota, Metazoa, Chordata, Actinopteri, Salmoniformes, Salmonidae. The record is from Ensembl.
GGAUUGGAACCUAACCCCAUUGGUUGACAGCGAGAGCUUGGGAUUGGAACCUAACCCCAUUGGUUGACAGCGAGAGCUUGGGAUUGGAACCUAACCCCAUUGGUUGUAGGCGAGAGCUUGGGAUUGGAACCUAACCCCAUUGGUUGACAGCGAGAGCUUGGGAUUGGAACCUAACCCCAUUGGUUGACAGCGAGAGUUUGGGAUUGGAACCUAACCCCAUUGGUUGUAGGCGAGAGUUUGGGAUUGGAACCACAGCCUUACUUUUGGUUUAUGUGCAUUAUGUGUUUUACUUCUAUCCUUAUUAGAGCACCUUAUAUGAGUUUAGCAGUUCCCUAAGUGGUGUUUUCUUAAAGACUUAGGUUGCACCCGUAAUGACACCCUAUUCCCUAUAUGGUUCACUACUUUUGACCAGGACCAUUCCCAUAUAGGCCCUGGUCAAAAGUAGUGCCCUGGUCAAAAGUAGUGCUAUGUGCCCUGGUCAAACGUAGUGCUAUGUGCCCUGGUCAAACGUAGUGCUUUGGGCCCUGGUCAAAAGUAGUGCACUAUUUAGGGAAUAGGGUGCCCUUUGGGACAAUAACCUGUAGUGUCAAUGCCACCGUGCCUUCUGUGUCAAGCACUUCCUGGAGUUGGUAUUUUGUAAGCUCACCAAAAGCACUUAGCCCACAUCUCUCUUUCCCCUAGUAUAUCACCUAUUUAUUCACCUCAUUCUUCUUGACGUAUUUUAUCCUCUCCUUGUCUGUCACUCCAACUUCGCAGGGGCCAAGUGGGUUGUUGCCUUAUUUGAACAAUUUCUUACCAUCAGACAUAAUAUCACUUGGAGGUAAUAUUGCUAGCAUCGCUAGUAGCCCCCAGUGUAGGAAACAAGGUUGAUUUCAGCUAACACGUGGCAAACCAAAGCCAAAGUUUAAUGGAUAAAUCUUAGAAUUAGGUGCCAAAACCUGUCCAUGGGGACACUAAACAUGUUAAAUUAAGAUAAUAUAAUUCAAUAGUAUUAUCAAGAUAUUAUAUUGUCAUUCUCUCUAUCCUUUUAAUGUAUGUGUACAUCUCUCUUUUCUUCGUUCUCAACUUCCCUAACCUCUCUCUCUCUCUCUCUCUCUUCCGUAACCUCUCUCUCUCUCUCUCUCUCUCUCUCUCUCUCUCUCUGGCACCAUUAGAAGGUGAUGAUGUGUACUAUCUGGUAUUGAGGCCUUUUAUUCUUAGAUUUGUAUUUUCAAUUUGUGUGAUGUUCGUACGUUCGUUCAUUCGAUGCCCGAUGAGAUGGAGUAACGCUAUUCUUCUUCUUUUUAAAAUUAUUAUUAUUGUUUUGGCAUUAUUAAGGAGAAGAAGAGGAAAAAAAUAAUAAGAAAAAAAAAUGUCUUGUUGAAUGUUGUACAGAUAGCACUAGAGAUGUGUUUUUAAUAAGAGAGCGCAAACCCAAGCUCUAGUCCCGCCCACUCCUCCCUCCCAUUGGCAGAUAGGACAAGUGACUUGCCAAGGAUAGUACAAGUAACCCGCCAAUCAUUUAAAUGAACUGCCCUCCAACUGACAAACAGGUUCGAUCCAGUGAAUGUAAACUACAUCAUGAUCUUAAAUUACCCACAGAAUAUGUCAUAAUGUGAAAAUGUGAAUGUCCCAGACAGUCAAUGGUUCAUCUGAAAUAUUUCCUAAAUUGCUUCUUGCAAGGAAUCUCUCUGAAAUAUGCUAGAAAUCUUUUAACUGGUGCCUAACUAUAUUGUUCUCACAUAAUUUCCUAGUUUCACAUGCAUUUUGAAGUGCAGAUGUUCGAGUACUGUUGCAGUGUGUGUGACUGACAUAGGUCAUAGGGCCCUUGUCAAAAGUAGUGCACUAUAUAGGGAAUCGGGUGCCAUUUGGAACAAAGCCACUGUCUUGUUGGAGAGGUGGAAGGGAGUGCUGGGUUUGGGCUCUCGUGUAGAUGACUGCCAUUGCAGUGAGGGAAAAACUGACCUAACCUAACAUAGUAGUGACUAAUAUGAGUUUGUGGACAGAUUUUUUAAAAAACACACACAUUAGAGAUACAUUAAUAAAUGCAAACAAAGGGAAAAAAG